This is a non-coding RNA of Cyanistes caeruleus (blue tit), 442 nucleotides long. The record is from RefSeq and is a predicted model, not a curated record. Lineage: Eukaryota; Metazoa; Chordata; Aves; Passeriformes; Paridae.
CAAUAAUUGGUCACAGGAAAAGACUCCCAUCAGCCUUUCGCAACUUCAACUUCCUCCCAGCUCCCGAAGCUAUCUUAAAGCCUUGAAGGGUCAUAAAUUUAAGAUCCCAGAUUUACAAUUUUCACAUGCCUUUGGCUUUGUUUAUUGAAGCUUGUCAAGGUAAGAGGAGUUAUCAUGAGGGAUGACCACACUCAAGGGACAAAUCUCUUUACAUAUGCUUCAAGAAGGCUUAUGUCAGAAGACCCUGCCUUUAAAAUUUGGGACUGGGCUUUUACAGUUCAGUGUAGUCAGUCAUAGUGUUAGUCAUAUGACCCCAGGCCAGAUGUGUCAGCAACUUUGGGUAAGUUACCAAUAGUAUCACUUGUUUGUUCCUUUAUGCAGAUAUUAUAACAAGGUCAGGAUGUUUCACUUUGGGACUUAUGAAUCUGAGUGGUUUCAGCAU